UCCUGCUGGCUCAGUGGUAAAGAAUCUGCCUGCCAAGCAGGAGACACGGGUUUGAUUCCUGGGUCAGGAA
This 70-nucleotide transfer RNA is filed under the name Bos taurus (domestic cattle). It matches the Rfam family "tRNA". From Rfam's summary of the family: Transfer RNA (tRNA) molecules are approximately 80 nucleotides in length. Their secondary structure includes four short double-helical elements and three loops (D, anti-codon, and T loops). RNAcentral also lists the same sequence under 5 other names. Lineage: Eukaryota; Metazoa; Chordata; Mammalia; Artiodactyla; Bovidae. The record is from Rfam by way of RNAcentral.